UUUUUAUUUAUAAAAUUGUACUUCCGUGAAAAAUUGUGAGGGCUGCUUUCGGUUUAUAUAUAUAUAUAUAUAUAUAUAUAUAUAUAGACUAUUGCUAAUGACUCACUCUGAUUCUCAAUCCCCAAGCCACACGAGUCUUUUUUUUUUUUUUUUCCUCCUAACCCUAACCCUCGCCGCUCUCCCUCUCAAUCAAAAGCCAAAAACCCUAAAUCAGGAAUAGAAACAGAAAGCUAGUUAUGAAUCAAACCCUAAAUCAGGAAUAGAAACAGAAAGCUAGUUAUGAAUCAAGAACGAGUGAUCCUCUUCUGCGGGCAUAUGUGUGAUGAACCUUUCGUCUACUCAAAAGAUGAUGAUUAUGGCAAGACUAUGAUGUCUUGGUUUACUAUGUUGUCUCCAGAGAUCCGUGCUGGACCAUCAUCUUCGGUUAUUUUGUCUUCUGCUUCAUCAUCUUCUUCUUUGAGAAAGCGAAAGAGAAAUACUCCUCCUACUCUUUCUGGGCAUUUUUAUCUUCAUUUUUCACGACGGAGUCAACAAAAUACCGGCGAUUGGAAGCUUGCUCUGCUGAUGAAGCAUCCUAGAAAAUCCCCUCAUAUCAUUGUCCUAGAUGGUAAGUUAUAUAUUAUAGGUGGUUUAAAAUAUCCUAUUAAUGGUUUAAAAUAUUCAUUACUUGCCUUUAUAGAGGUUUUUGAUCCUGAUAUUGGAACUUGGGAAUCUUUGCCUAAUCCUCUAUUUAUGAGCCCAAAUCCUCCAUUUAUGAAUCCACUCUAUCAACCUAGGGAGAUGGUGACUGCCCUUCUUAAAAAGAGACCAAAUAUAUCUGUUUUUAAGAAGGGUGGUCACCAUCUCCCUAGGUUGAUAGAGUGGAUUCAUAAAUGGAGGAUUUGGGCUCAUAAAUGGAGAUUAGGCAAGGAUUCCCAAGUUCCAAUAUCAGGGUCAAAAACCUCUAUAAAGGCAGGUAAUGGAUAUUUUAAAGCACCUAUAGGAUAUUUUAAAUCACCUAUAACAUAUAACUUACCAUCCAGGACAAUGAUGUGAGGGGAUUUUCUAGGAUGCUUCAUCCGCGGGGUGAGCUUCCAAUCGCCGCCGUUGCUGGAGUUCUUGAAACGCCUACUUCAAACGUCGGUCUGCAUCUUCGUAUUCUGUGGUUCUUGAAGAUGCAAUGUUAGUGGAUAUUACAUUUCAUCCAUCAAAUAUGCUGGCCUUGAGGUAUAUUAUCUAUUCCUUUCUUUUGUUCCUUCAAAUAUAUUGUUUUAUUGCUUUAUUCAAGGUGUUGCAAUAAUGUUGCUUAUCGGGUUCAAUGAGUCAAUGCUAAAAGAAUUUGGGAUGACCCGACCUCUAAGGUGGAGUGUGAUGAACUCCUACAGCAGCAUGCUAAACGAAUUACGAAUUUGGGAUGACCCAACAGGAUUGUGGCAUGUGCUUCUAGGCUUUGAUUAUUUGUUUUCUACAUGUGAGAGUUGUAGAGUGUAGAGCUCAUAAUGUUCGAAUACACAUACUAAAGCAGAAAUCUCUCUCUCCCUCUCAAGAAAGUAAAACCAUUUAUGUUUUCUUUUUCAAAAUCCCAUUUUUUUAACACAUUGCUGAAAGUUUUGUUAAGCAUAACAAUGUGGUUUUUUUCAAGCUUUCUUUGCACUGUUGCGCUUUGGAAUGUACUUCUUUGCACUAUUGCUGCUUACUUCAAUUGUAUUUCUUAAAUAUGCAUUGUACAUAUUUUGUAGUCUGCCUUGUGUACAUAUUAAUGCUUUGAAAGUCAUCCAAUAGGAAGCCUUCUGUCCAAGCUGGUUGAGCUAAAAUAAUGGUCAUGGACAAACAUUUUGUAACUAAAGAAGUAUGAUGACUUAUCAAUGAGCAAAAAAUCUUAUGCA
Molecule: long non-coding RNA, 1865 nt
Organism: Quercus lobata
Lineage: Eukaryota; Viridiplantae; Streptophyta; Magnoliopsida; Fagales; Fagaceae
Exons: 2
Source: RefSeq, a predicted model, not a curated record